UACGGAGGGUGCAAGCGUUAUCCGGAUUCACUGGGUUUAAAGGGUGCGUAGGCGGGCUUGUAAGUCAGGGGUGAAAGCCCGGAGCUUAACUCCGGAACUGCCAUUGAUACUGCAGGUCUUGAGUACACUUGAGGUGGGCGGAAUACAUCAUGUAGUGGUGAAAUACUUAGAUAUGAUGUAGAACACCGAUUGCGAAGGCAGCUCACUAAAUUGUAACUGACGCUGAGGCACGAAAGCGUGGGGAUCAAACAGG
Molecule: ribosomal RNA, 253 nt
Filed under: uncultured bacterium
Lineage: Bacteria
Description: partial 16S ribosomal RNA
Rfam family: Bacterial small subunit ribosomal RNA
Source: RNAcentral